Molecule: small RNA, 356 nt
Filed under: Pseudomonas rhizosphaerae
Lineage: Bacteria; Pseudomonadati; Pseudomonadota; Gammaproteobacteria; Pseudomonadales; Pseudomonadaceae
Description: Pseudomonas sRNA P34
Rfam family: Pseudomonas sRNA P34
Source: Rfam by way of RNAcentral
CCACCCAAUGCGCCCCCUACACCGGCUUCGGUGUUACUGCCUGCAGAGGCAGCGCCUGUCACCAGGCCAAGGGUCAACAAAAGUAUCGAGGGAAAUUUCAUCGAUCAGAUCUCAGAGGGAUGACGGCGCGACUUUGCUAUGCGAUCGGUCGUCCGACAAGCGCGAUGUGAUGGAAAGCGCGAUAAGUACGCAAUUCUGAGAUUCUGAAGUUUCAUGGGGAAACUUUGAGCGGGGAGGGCGGUCGCAGGUACUUGCGGAGUGGCGUCUUUUGGUUGAGAUCGAGAUCAAGAUCAAGAGCUACGCGGCUUGCGCCGCUGCUACAGGGUGGGUGUGAUCCCUGUAACAGCGGCGCAAGC